UCUCGAUUGGUCUAGUGGUCAGGAUACCUGCUUGUCAUUCGUUUAAGAACAAGUCGCAGGUGGCCGGGGUUCGAUUCCCCGAUCGAGAG
RNAcentral lists this transfer RNA (89 nucleotides) under Xylaria scruposa. RNAcentral's name for it is "tRNA-Asp". It matches the Rfam family "tRNA". Rfam says of the family: Transfer RNA (tRNA) molecules are approximately 80 nucleotides in length. Their secondary structure includes four short double-helical elements and three loops (D, anti-codon, and T loops). Lineage: Eukaryota; Fungi; Ascomycota; Sordariomycetes; Xylariales; Xylariaceae. The record is from RNAcentral.